CCGGCGACCGGCGGCACGGGUGGAGUAACACGUAUGGAACCUGCCCGCAGCAGGGGGAUAAGCGGAAGAAAUUCCGUCUAAUACCGCGUAACAACGUUGGGAGGCAUCUCCCGAUGUUUAAAGAUUUAUCGGCUGCGGAUGGCCAUGCGGCGCAUUAGCUAGUCGGCGGGGUAACGGCCCACCGAGGCGACGAUGCGUAGGGGUUCUGAGAGGAAGGUCCCCCACACUGGUACUGAGACACGGACCAGACUCCUACGGAAGGCAGCAG
This 268-nucleotide ribosomal RNA is filed under the name uncultured bacterium. RNAcentral's name for it is "partial 16S ribosomal RNA". It matches the Rfam family "Bacterial small subunit ribosomal RNA", at positions 87 to 354 of the family's 1533-position model. The record is from RNAcentral.